RNAcentral lists this ribosomal RNA (512 nucleotides) under uncultured bacterium. RNAcentral's name for it is "bacterial SSU rRNA". It matches the Rfam family "Bacterial small subunit ribosomal RNA", at positions 8 to 507 of the family's 1533-position model. The record is from RNAcentral.
AGAGUUUGAUCAUGGCUCAGGAGUGAACGCUGGCGGCAGGCCUAAUACAUGCAAGGUCGAACGGCAGCACAGCAGAGCUUGCUCUGUGGGUGGCGAGUGGCGGACGGGUGAGGAAUACGUGGGAAUCUGCCCAGUCGUGGGGGAUAACGUAGGGAAACUUACGCUAAUACCGCAUGCGCCCUUCGGGGGAAAGCCGGGGACCUUCGGGCCUGGCGCGAUUGGAUGAGCCCACGUCGGAUUAGCUAGUUGGCGGGGUAAAGGCCCACCAAGGCGACGAUCCGUAGCUGGUCUGAGAGGAUGAUCAGCCACACUGGAACUGAGACACGGUCCAGACUCCUACGGGAGGCAGCAGUAGGGAAUAUUGGACAAUGGGCGCAAGCCUGAUCCAGCCAUGCCGCGUGAGUGAAGAAGGCCCUCGGGUUGUAAAGCUCUUUUGUCCGGAAAGAAAAGCGCCGGGUUAAUACCCUGGUGUCCUGACGGUACCGGAAGAAUAAGCACCGGCUAACUUCGUG